AGAUUGAUGAUGACUCCCUCAACCACAUUCUUUGGAAAGCUGAACAAACUGAGAACUCACUACAGUCAUUCUCUUCAGUGCU
Small nucleolar RNA from Hyaena hyaena (striped hyena), 82 nucleotides. RefSeq annotates it as small nucleolar RNA SNORD116. The record is from RefSeq and is a predicted model, not a curated record. The transcript has a single exon. NCBI's taxonomy places the organism in Eukaryota, Metazoa, Chordata, Mammalia, Carnivora, Hyaenidae.